Molecule: ribosomal RNA, 468 nt
Filed under: uncultured bacterium
Lineage: Bacteria
Description: partial 16S ribosomal RNA
Rfam family: Bacterial small subunit ribosomal RNA
Source: RNAcentral
GACGAACGCUGGCGGCGUGCUUAACACAUGCAAGUCGAACGGAAAGGCCCUGCUUUUGUGGGGUGCUCGAGUGGCGAACGGGUGAGUAACACGUGUGUAACCUGCCCUUGACUUUGGGAUAACUUCAGGAAACUGGGGCUAAUACCGGAGAGGAGCUCCUGCUGCAUGGUGGGGGGUGGAGAGUUUCGGCGGUUGGGGAUGGACUCGCGGCUUAUCAGCUUGUUGGUGGGGUAGUGGCUUACCAAGGCUUUGACGGGUAGCCGGCCUGAGAGGGUGACCGGCCACAUUGGGACUGAGAUACGGCCCAGACUCCUACGGGAGGCAGCAGUGGGGAAUAUUGCACAAUGGGCGGAAGCCUGAUGCAGCAACGCCGCGUGCGGGAUGACGGCCUUCGGGUUGUAAACCGCUUUCGCCUGUGACGAAGCGUGAGUGACGGUAAUGGGUAAAGAAGCACCGGCUAACUACGUG